UACGUAGGGUGCAAGCGUUGUCCGGAUUUAUUGGGCGUAAAGAGCUCGUAGGCGGUUUGUCGCGUCGGAUGUGAAAACCCAAUGGCUUAACCUUGGGCCUGCAUUCGAUACGGGCAAACUAGAGUGUGGUAGGGGAGACUGGAACUCCUGGUGUAGCGGUGGAAUGCGCAGAUAUCAGGAAGAACACCGAUGGCGAAGGCAGGUCUCUGGGCCAUAACUGACGCUGAGGAGCGAAAGCGUGGGGAGCGAACAGGAUUAGAUACCCUGGUAGUCCACGCCGUAAACGGUGGGCGCUAGGUGUGGGGAUUGUUUCCACGAUCUCCGUGCCGUAGCUAACGCAUUAAGCGCCCCGCCUGGGGAGUACGGCCGCAAGGCUAAA
Molecule: ribosomal RNA, 379 nt
Filed under: uncultured bacterium
Lineage: Bacteria
Description: bacterial SSU rRNA
Rfam family: Bacterial small subunit ribosomal RNA
Source: RNAcentral